RNAcentral lists this ribosomal RNA (714 nucleotides) under Triticum aestivum (bread wheat). RNAcentral describes it as "partial small subunit ribosomal RNA". Lineage: Eukaryota; Viridiplantae; Streptophyta; Magnoliopsida; Poales; Poaceae. The record is from RNAcentral.
AUGGAGACCCCUGGUGGAUCCACACCUCUGGCAGUCUGGAGUACACUUUGGAAACUCCCAGUUCCACGUAAAGUUCAAGUGUUUGGAUGGAGGUUGUUACGAGGAAUCAUCCCGCUGCGAGCUAUCCUCACUAAUAGGCAUGUCGGGUCUAAUGGAGCCUGCCCAAUCUGCCAUCACGGGGCGGAGGACAUCAAGCAUCUUCUAUUCCAGUGCACGCAUGCAAGGGAUUUGUGGGACCGACUAGGCUUGCUGGAACUAGUGAAUCAGUCAUUGCCAGUGGAUAGACCGGGAUCGAUCAUUGUCGCGCAUAUACUGUCACUUCCGGAUAGUCAUCUAUCUAUGCAUCCGAACAUGAAUUUUAAACAGGACAUUUUGGUGGGAGCGUGGUACCUAUGGUGGAUUAGGAGGCAGGCCACACACAGUGAAACAUACCCACCCUCAUGGAGAUGGCCUAUCUCAGUCCUGUCCAUUGUGAGGAAUUUCCAAAAUGCCUCUAACCGAAUGGCCGAGUUGCCUGAAACAAAAUGGAGGAAACCGGACCCAAGAUUCAUAAAACUUAAUGUUGACGCAGGUUUUUUUGCACAUGAGGGCAUUGGUGCAACUGCAGCUAUUCUCAGAGACAACAGAGGAAAUUUUAUUGCGACUCACUGCAAAUUCAUUGCUAUUGCAGCCGAUGCUAUCACCACGGAGGCAAUGGCUAUGAGAGAUGGAUAA